AGUAAUGUAUGGGGAUCUGCCUGAUGGCGGGGGAUAACUACUGGAAACGGUAGCUAAUACCGCAUAAUGUCUGCGGACCAAAGCGGGGGACCUCCGGGCCUCGCGCCAUCAGAUGAACCCAUAUGGGAUUAGCUAGUAGGUAAGGUAACGGCUUACCUAGGCGACGAUCCCUAGCUGGUCUGAGAGGAUGAUCAGCCACACUGGGACUGAGACACGGUCCAG
RNAcentral lists this ribosomal RNA (222 nucleotides) under uncultured bacterium. RNAcentral describes it as "partial 16S ribosomal RNA". It matches the Rfam family "Bacterial small subunit ribosomal RNA", at positions 109 to 334 of the family's 1533-position model. The record is from RNAcentral.